UACGUAGGGGGCAAGCGUUGUCCGGAUUUAUUGGGCGUAAAGAGCUCGUAGGUGGUUCGGUAAGUCGGAUGUGAAAUCUCCAGGCUCAACCUGGAGGGGUCAUUCGAUACUGCCGUGACUAGAGGUCGGUAGGGGAGUGUGGAAUUCCUGGUGUAGCGGUGAAAUGCGCAGAUAUCAGGAAGAACACCCGUGGCGAAGGCGGCUCUCUGGGGACGGUACUGACGCUGAGACGCGAAAGCGUGGGGAGCGAACAGG
RNAcentral lists this ribosomal RNA (255 nucleotides) under uncultured bacterium. RNAcentral describes it as "partial 16S ribosomal RNA". It matches the Rfam family "Bacterial small subunit ribosomal RNA", at positions 524 to 776 of the family's 1533-position model. The record is from RNAcentral.